This 403-nucleotide ribosomal RNA is filed under the name uncultured bacterium. RNAcentral's name for it is "partial 16S ribosomal RNA". It matches the Rfam family "Bacterial small subunit ribosomal RNA", at positions 28 to 526 of the family's 1533-position model. The record is from RNAcentral.
GACGAACGCUGGCGGCGUGCCUAAUACAUGCAAGUCGAACGCAGUGGGGACGGGUGAGUAACACGUGGGUAACCUCCCAUCAGAGGGGAUAACACUUGGAAACAGGUGCUAAACCGAUACUGAUGGAUGAACCCGCGGUGCAUUAGCUAGUGGGGGAGGUAACGGCUCACCAAGGCCACGAUGCAUAACGGGCCUGAGAGGGGGAUUGGCCACACUGGGACUGAGACACGGCCCAGACUCCUACGGGAGGCAGCAGUGGGGAAUAUUCGGCAAUGGGCGAAAGUCUGACCGAGCCACGCCGCGUGAGUGAAGAAGGCCUUCGGGUUGUAAAGCACUUUCAGCGGGGAGGCGUUACCCGCAGAAGAAGCACCGGCUAACUCCGUGCCAGCAGCCGCGGUAAUAC